This 253-nucleotide ribosomal RNA is filed under the name uncultured bacterium. RNAcentral describes it as "partial 16S ribosomal RNA". It matches the Rfam family "Bacterial small subunit ribosomal RNA", at positions 524 to 776 of the family's 1533-position model. The record is from RNAcentral.
UACGAAGGGUGCAAGCGUUACUCGGAAUUACUGGGCGUAAAGGGUGCGUAGGUGGUUGUUUAAGUCUGUUGUGAAAGCCCCGGGCUCAACCUGGGAAUGGCAAUGGAUACUGGACAGCUAGAGUGCGGUAGAGGGUAGUGGAAUUCCUAGUGUAGAGGUGAAAUUCGUAGAUAUUAGGAAGAACACCAGUGGCGAAGGCGGCUCACUGGCCCGGUACUGACGCUGAGGCGCGAAAGCGUGGGGAGCAAACAGG